AAAUUAUAGGGAUUUAAGUAAAGAUUUGUUGGCCAAAGAAGAUUGGCGUGCUGGGCUUAUUCAUUAUCGUCCAAGAUUUUCAGAAGGCCAACUGGGUCUAGCGGGGCAGGCUUUGGAUUAGGGCCUAUAGUUAAUUGUAUUGGGUUGGUCUGCUCAUUAACGACUCAGAAGUGUGUAAUUAGUAAUCGUGUCAAAUGGAUUCAUGCCAUAAGUCGGCUACAACACUUGUCAAUCCUAUGUAAUCUACGAUACAACUGUAAUCCAGCCUGAUAUUACCAUAAGAAUGUGAUUAUAAUAUAAUUCCAUUUGAAGUAGAUAUUUUACAUUGCCAAAGUUCAAAAAAA
This 344-nucleotide long non-coding RNA is filed under the name Linum usitatissimum (flax). RNAcentral describes it as "long non-coding RNA (LUSI_LNC007598)". Lineage: Eukaryota; Viridiplantae; Streptophyta; Magnoliopsida; Malpighiales; Linaceae. The record is from RNAcentral.